CCUACGGGCGGCUGCAGUGGGGAAUAUUGGACAAUGGGCGAAAGCCUGAUCCAGCCAUGCCGCGUGUGUGAAGAAGGCCUUCGGGUUGUAAAGCACUUUCAGUGGGGAAGAAAGCCUUGGGGCUAAUACCCUCGAGGAAGGACAUCACCCACAGAAGAAGCACCGGCUGAACUCCGUGCCAGCAGCCGCGGUAAUACGGAGGGUGCGAGCGUUAAUCGGAAUUACUGGGCGUAAAGCGCGCGUAGGCGGUCUGAUAAGCCGGUUGUGAAAGCCCCGGGCUCAACCUGGGAACGGCAUCCGGAACUGUCAGGCUAGAGUGCAGGAGAGGAAGGUAGAAUUCCCGGUGUAGCGGUGAAAUGCGUAGAGAUCGGGAGGAAUACCAGUGGCGAAGGCGGCCUUCUGGACUGACACUGACGCUGAGGUGCGAAAGCGUGGGUAGCAAACAGGAUUAGAUACCCUGGUAGUC
This 466-nucleotide ribosomal RNA is filed under the name Vreelandella stevensii. RNAcentral's name for it is "partial 16S ribosomal RNA". It matches the Rfam family "Bacterial small subunit ribosomal RNA", at positions 338 to 795 of the family's 1533-position model. The record is from RNAcentral. Lineage: Bacteria; Pseudomonadati; Pseudomonadota; Gammaproteobacteria; Oceanospirillales; Halomonadaceae.